RNAcentral lists this small RNA (106 nucleotides) under Marmota monax (woodchuck). The record is from RNAcentral. Lineage: Eukaryota; Metazoa; Chordata; Mammalia; Rodentia; Sciuridae.
UCGAGGCAUGGUGGCGCAUGCCUGUAAUCCCAGUGGCUUGGAGGCUGAGGCAGGAGGAUCGCAAGCUCAAAGCCAGCCUCAGCAACUUAGCAAGACCUUGUCUCUA